This 433-nucleotide ribosomal RNA is filed under the name uncultured bacterium. RNAcentral's name for it is "partial 16S ribosomal RNA". It matches the Rfam family "Bacterial small subunit ribosomal RNA", at positions 29 to 507 of the family's 1533-position model. The record is from RNAcentral.
AACGAACGCUGGCGGCAGGCUUAACACAUGCAAGUCGAGCGAGACCUUCGGGUCUAGCGGCGGACGGGUGAGUAACGCGUGGGAACGUGCCCUUCUCUACGGAAUAGCCCCGGGAAACUGGGAGUAAUACCGUAUACGCCCUUUGGGGGAAAGAUUUAUCGGAGAAGGAUCGGCCCGCGUUGGAUUAGGUAGUUGGUGGGGUAAUGGCCCACCAAGCCGACGAUCCAUAGCUGGUUUGAGAGGAUGAUCAGCCACACUGGGACUGAGACACGGCCCAGACUCCUACGGGAGGCAGCAGUGGGGUAUCUUAGACAAUGGGGGCAACCCUGAUCUAGCCAUGCCGCGUGAGUGAUGAAGGCCUUAGGGUUGUAAAGCUCUUUCAGCUGGGAAGAUAAUGACGGUACCAGCAGAAGAAGCCCCGGCUAACUCCGUG